GCUACACUCAGGCUGCAACAGCCACAGUCCCAGUGCUCUGAAGUGUAUCUCAGACCUUAAAGGGUAUUAGACAGCCUUCCGUGGGCCUGAGUGUUACAGGAUUUCUUUUCGCCCAUAUUGUGUGGCUUUAU
Molecule: long non-coding RNA, 131 nt
Organism: Talpa occidentalis (Iberian mole)
Lineage: Eukaryota; Metazoa; Chordata; Mammalia; Eulipotyphla; Talpidae
Exons: 3
Source: RefSeq, a predicted model, not a curated record